RNAcentral lists this small RNA (567 nucleotides) under Pongo abelii (Sumatran orangutan). RNAcentral's name for it is "processed transcript". The record is from RNAcentral. Lineage: Eukaryota; Metazoa; Chordata; Mammalia; Primates; Hominidae.
UUUGCAUCAAUCUUUGUGUGAAUGUUCAACUUUUGUUCUAUUGUAUUAUAGAUACAUUUAUAAAUAUUUCUCUUAUCCCAGGGAUUUUAUUUAUAAGAUCCUUUUUUUUCCUUUAUUUUCAUUGUGGCUCUUUAAAUAUUGGGGUUUUUCCUUAAAAAAAUUUCAGAUUUACAAAUACAUGUGAAACACAGGCUUGUCAAAUUUUUAACUUUAAAAAAAUUGUCUAGAUGCUCCAGAAUCCAUCUGAAUUUGCACAGUCAGUAAAAUCCUUGCUGGAAGCACAGAAGCAGUCCAUUGAGUCUGGCUCCAUAGCUGGUGGGGAGCACCUCUGUUUUAUGGGCAGUGGCAGGGAGGAAGAAGACAUGUAUAUGAACAUGGUCCUGGCACACUUUUUACAGAAAAACAAAGAAUAUGUGAGUAUUGCCAGUGGAGGAUUUAUGGCACUGCAGCAGCACCUGGCAGACAUUAAUGUGGAUGGACCAGAAAAUGGAUAUGGCCAUUGGAUUGCUAGUACCUCAGGCUCAAGGAGCAGUAUCAAUUCUGUUGAUGGUGAAUCUCCUAAUGGCU